Molecule: ribosomal RNA, 254 nt
Filed under: uncultured bacterium
Lineage: Bacteria
Description: partial 16S ribosomal RNA
Rfam family: Bacterial small subunit ribosomal RNA
Source: RNAcentral
GACGAACCGUGCGAACGUUACUCGGAAUCACUGGGCUUAAAGAGCACGUAGGCGGCGACAUAAGUCGAACGUGAAAUCCCAUCGGCUCAACCGUGGAACUGCAUUCGAUACUGUGUUGCUUGAGGGAGAACGGGGCAUUCGGAACUUCCGGUGGAGCGGUGAAAUGUGUUGAUAUCGGAAGGAACGCCGGUGGCGAAAGCGGGAUGCUGGGUCUCUUCUGACGCUGAGGUGCGAAAGCUAGGGUAGCGAACGGG